CUGAUAUAUAAAAGAAAUAUAAUAAUAAUUAAUACAAGAUGAGUGAGAACAUUAGACAAAUUCAAUAAGCUAAAAUCAUAAUCUGAAAUCCACAAGCUGAACUGUAAAUGGGAAAAUGUAAGCUGAAAGCUAAUAAUCCACUCUAUACUUAAAAUUCACAUCAAAAUAUACUCCAUGUAAUCAUCUACUGAUGAUCUGAAAACUAUAAAAUCAUAUGCACAUAAACCAUCGGAUCAACACUCUGUACACGGUCGUAGCCCCUCAGUGUAUAAGAUGAAAAAAACAUAAUCAUCCUUAUACACGGCUAUAGCCCCUCAGUGUAUAAUAGGUACCCUUAUACACAGCCGUAGCCCCUCAAUGGAUAAGAGUUACCCUUAUACAUGACUAUAACCCUUCAGUGUAUAGGAGUUAUAUACAUAACUCUAGUACACGGCCGUAGCCCCUCAGUGUACAAGAUGGAAAUAACAUAAUCAUCCUUAUAAACGGUCAUGAUAGAGAAGGAUGCGAUGGGACUUGGAGACGAGUAGUCCAAUUUCCUUCUGAACUAUAGAGACCAUCCCAGCCAUGUCCAGUCAUUGUGGGGGGACUUUUUUUUGGCCCUUAUAAACGGUCAUAGCCCCUCAGUCUAUAGGAGUUAAAUACAUGACUCUAGUACACAGCCGCAACCCCUCGGCGCACUAGAGUAAGAUAAUCACAUCAAUUAUUUAAUGAUAAUUUCAAAACAAUCAUGCUCAUUUACUAAUUCUCGAAAAUAAGGCAUUUCAUGUAAUUAACAUGCUUCUAUAAAAUAAAAAGGAAAUCUUCUUUUUGAAAACGUAGAUUUUCCACUCAC
RNAcentral lists this long non-coding RNA (832 nucleotides) under Olea europaea (common olive). RNAcentral's name for it is "long non-coding RNA (OEUR_LNC014529)". Lineage: Eukaryota; Viridiplantae; Streptophyta; Magnoliopsida; Lamiales; Oleaceae. The record is from RNAcentral.